This 465-nucleotide ribosomal RNA is filed under the name uncultured bacterium. RNAcentral describes it as "partial 16S ribosomal RNA". It matches the Rfam family "Bacterial small subunit ribosomal RNA", at positions 28 to 507 of the family's 1533-position model. The record is from RNAcentral.
GACGAACGCUGGCGGCGUGCUUAACACAUGCAAGUCGAACGGAAAGGCCCUGCUUGCAGGGUACUCGAGUGGCGAACGGGUGAGUAACACGUGGGUGAUCUGCCCUGCACUUCGGGAUAAGCUUGGGAAACUGGGUCUAAUACCGGAUAGGAACCAUCUUUAGUGUGGUGGUUGGAAAGUUUUUUCGGUGUAGGAUGAGCUCGCGGCCUAUCAGCUUGUUGGUGGGGUAAUGGCCUACCAAGGCGGCGACGGGUAGCCGGCCUGAGAGGGUGUACGGCCACAUUGGGACUGAGAUACGGCCCAGACUCCUACGGGAGGCAGCAGUGGGGAAUAUUGCACAAUGGGCGCAAGCCUGAUGCAGCGACGCCGCGUGGGGGAGGAAGGCCUUCGGGUUGUAAACGCCUUUCGCUAGGGACGAAGCUUUUUGUGACGGUACCUAGAGAAGAAGCACCGGCUAACUACGUG